This 425-nucleotide ribosomal RNA is filed under the name uncultured bacterium. RNAcentral's name for it is "partial 16S ribosomal RNA". It matches the Rfam family "Bacterial small subunit ribosomal RNA", at positions 354 to 796 of the family's 1533-position model. The record is from RNAcentral.
GUGGGGAAUAUUGGGCAAUGGGCGAAAGCCUGACCCAGCAACGCCGCGUGAAGGAAGAAGGUUUUCGGAUCGUAAACUUCUAUCCUUGGUGAAGAUAAUGACGGUAGCCAAGAAGGAAGCCCCGGCUAACUACGUGCCAGCAGCCGCGGUAAUACGUAGGGGGCAAGCGUUGUCCGGAAUGAUUGGGCGUAAAGGGCGCGUAGGCGGCCCGGUAAGUCUGAAGUGAAAGUCCUGCUUUUAAGGUGGGAAUUGCUUUGGAUACUGUCGGGCUUGAGUGCAGGAGAGGUAAGCGGAAUUCCCGGUGUAGCGGUGAAAUGCGUAGAGAUCGGGAGGAACACCAGUGGCGAGGGCGGCUUACUGGACUGUAACUGACGCUGAGGCGCGAAAGUGUGGGGAGCAAACAGGAUUAGAAACCCGUGUAGUCC